Molecule: ribosomal RNA, 301 nt
Filed under: uncultured bacterium
Lineage: Bacteria
Description: partial 16S ribosomal RNA
Rfam family: Bacterial small subunit ribosomal RNA
Source: RNAcentral
CAGCCGCCGCGGUAAUACGUAGGUCCCGAGCGUUGUCCGGAUUUAUUGGGCGUAAAGCGAGCGCAGGCGGUUAGAUAAGUCUGAAGUUAAAGGCUGUGGCUUAACCAUAGUACGCUUUGGAAACUGUUUAACUUGAGUGCAAGAGGGGAGAGUGGAAUUCCAUGUGUAGCGGUGAAAUGCGUAGAUAUAUGGAGGAACACCGGUGGCGAAAGCGGCUCUCUGGCUUGUAACUGACGCUGAGGCUCGAAAGCGUGGGGAGCAAACAGGAUUAGAUACCCCGGUAGUCCCUGUCUCUUAUAAC